GAUGAACGCUAGCGGCAGGCCUAAUACAUGCAAGUCGAACGGGAUCUGAGGGUAGCUUGCUACCCGAUUUGAGAGUGGCGCACGGGUGCGUAACGCGUGAGCAACCUACCCAUAUCAGGGGGAUAGCCCGGAGAAAUUCGGAUUAAUACCGCAUAAGAAUGUAUUAACACAUGUUAAAGCAUUUAAAUAUUUAUAGGAUAUGGAUGGGCUCGCGUGACAUUAGCUAGUUGGUGAGGUAACGGCUCACCAAGGCGACGAUGUCUAGGGGCUCUGGGAGGGGAAUCCCCCACACUGGUACUGAGACACGGACCAGACUCCUACGGGAGGCAGCAGUAAGGAAUAUUGGUCAAUGGGCGAAAGCCUGAACCAGCCAUGCCGCGUGCAGGAUGACUGCCCUAUGGGUUGUAAACUGCUUUUGUCGAGGAAUAAACCUAUCUACGUGUAGCUAGUUGAACGUACUCGAAGAAUAAGGAUCGGCUAACUCCGUGCCAGCCGCCGCGGUAA
This 504-nucleotide ribosomal RNA is filed under the name uncultured bacterium. RNAcentral's name for it is "partial 16S ribosomal RNA". It matches the Rfam family "Bacterial small subunit ribosomal RNA", at positions 28 to 523 of the family's 1533-position model. The record is from RNAcentral.